GGAGUGUUAAACAUUUUUAAGGACCGGAGCGACGGUCCGCCGGUUCAUUCGAAAACAUGAGUCAUGGCGCCGUGGCAUUUUGCUUAAUAUUUUUUGUGUAUUCAAUUAAAGCCUAUUACAUGAUAAGAGUAUCCUUGAGAGCAUCUUAAAUAAUAGAACAACAAAAAAUGAGGUGCGGCACGAUCCGUUCAUGUGGGCAUGAGUCGAGGCGUCG
Molecule: long non-coding RNA, 214 nt
Filed under: Carica papaya (papaya)
Lineage: Eukaryota; Viridiplantae; Streptophyta; Magnoliopsida; Brassicales; Caricaceae
Description: long non-coding RNA (CPAP_LNC012394)
Source: RNAcentral